CCCUCGCGGCAGGGGCCGGAUAGUCCGGAUAGUGCCGCCGAGGUGAGCCGGGGGUGCCUCGUCCGAAAAAGCCCCGGCAGGG
RNAcentral lists this non-coding RNA (82 nucleotides) under unclassified sequences. RNAcentral's name for it is "Proteo-phage-1 RNA". It matches the Rfam family "Proteo-phage-1 RNA". The record is from Rfam by way of RNAcentral.